GACGAGGUGUCCGAGGGAUUAAGGCGAUGGACUGCUAAUGCAUUGGGCUCUGCCCGCGUGGGUUCGAAUCUCAUCCUCGUCG
RNAcentral lists this transfer RNA (82 nucleotides) under Stegodyphus mimosarum. It matches the Rfam family "tRNA". From Rfam's summary of the family: Transfer RNA (tRNA) molecules are approximately 80 nucleotides in length. Their secondary structure includes four short double-helical elements and three loops (D, anti-codon, and T loops). The record is from Rfam by way of RNAcentral. Lineage: Eukaryota; Metazoa; Arthropoda; Arachnida; Araneae; Eresidae.